Molecule: long non-coding RNA, 567 nt
Organism: Columba livia (rock pigeon)
Lineage: Eukaryota; Metazoa; Chordata; Aves; Columbiformes; Columbidae
Exons: 2
Source: RefSeq, a predicted model, not a curated record
AGACCAUCCACGAUCCUGUCACAUCUGCUAGUGCAGCCUCACCUGCUGCUGGAAGCAGUCACUGAUGAUGAAAUAAUGCCAGCUUUGUGCCACCCCACCCAUGCCGAGCGACCUGACUACGGGUGUCAACCUCUGCCAUGGCCAGAUUGGUCAAGGGGCAACGUCUACCUGUCACCACAAAACCUGCUCUGGAAAUUAUAACUAUUUUAGGAAAAGCACUUACUAAACCCAAACUACUCUUACAGACGACCAGGCUCUGAAACACUGGAAAUAAUUGACUCUUUUCACUGUUUCCCAAGAUGAGGAAUGAGUGCCCGGCCUUGCAGCGUUGUCAUUGUACAGCAAAGACAGCCCAUGUGGAAGAGAUAAAAAGCCCAAACACUCCCAGUUCACCUCUGUGUGGAUGAAGAAGAACAAAACCAGAGGGCGAUGCAGCUUUAUCAACAACUGCCAGUCACUACAGUUUCGCCAUAUGCAAAUACGUCAACAUUCAUUUGUUGAAUUUGUUCAAAGCAAAAUGGUUCUAGAAACAGAAGUGCUGACAAAUAGAAGGGGCUGUCACAUGGA